CUCCUUGCGCAGUGGCAAUAUCGUAACCAAUGAAGGCCUCCUGAGGUGCGAUUAUUGCUAGUUGAAAACUUUUACCAACUAGACCUACGAAUCUACGUAUAUAUUGUUGGUUAGUGGAUUCGAUUCCCGGUCUUAGUCC
This 139-nucleotide small nuclear RNA is filed under the name Rhodnius prolixus. RNAcentral describes it as "U4 spliceosomal RNA". The stretch from base 1 to 121 matches the Rfam family "U4 spliceosomal RNA". From Rfam's summary of the family: U4 small nuclear RNA (U4 snRNA) is a component of the major U2-dependent spliceosome. The structure of U4 snRNA from yeast and human has been reported. The record is from Rfam by way of RNAcentral. Lineage: Eukaryota; Metazoa; Arthropoda; Insecta; Hemiptera; Reduviidae.